CCUACGGGCGACAGCAGUGGGGAAUUUUGCGCAAUGCUCGUAAGAGUGACGCAGCGACGCCGCGUGAAUGACGAAGGCCUUCGGGUCGUAAAGUUCUUUCGACAGGGAAGAAAAUGCCUAUAAGUAACUGUGUAUGUAUUGACGGUACCUGUAUAAGCAGCCCCGGCUAACUCCGUGCCAGCAGCCGCGGUAAUACGGAGGGGGCGAGCGUUGUUCAGAGGGACUGGGCGUAAAGAGCACGUAGGCGGUGUUGUAAGUCAUUAGUCAAAGACUAGAGCUCAACUUUAGUAAGGCUAGUGAUACUAUAAUACUAGAGUAUCAGAGAGGAUUGCAGAAUUCCUGGUGUAGCGGUGAAAUGCGUAGAUAUCAGGAGGAAUACCGUUAGCGAAGGCGGCAAUCUGGCUGGAAACUGACGCUGAGGUGCGAAAGCGUGGGUAGCAAACAGGAUUAGAUACCCUUGUAGUC
RNAcentral lists this ribosomal RNA (465 nucleotides) under uncultured bacterium. Its description in RNAcentral is "partial 16S ribosomal RNA". It matches the Rfam family "Bacterial small subunit ribosomal RNA", at positions 338 to 795 of the family's 1533-position model. The record is from RNAcentral.